CCUACGGGUGGCAGCAGUGAGGAAUAUUGGUCAAUGGGCGUGAGCCUGAACCAGCCAAGUCGCGUGAAGGACGACGGCCCUACGGGUUGUAAACCUCUUUUGCAGAGGGGCAAAGUGCGGCACGCGUGCCGUCCUGUAUGUACCCUGUGAAAAAGCAUCGGCUAACUCCGUGCCAGCAGCCGCGGUAAUCCGGAGGAUCCGAGCGUUAUCCGGAUUUAUUGGGUUUAAAGGGUGCGUAGACGGGAUGCCAAGUCAGCGGUCAAAUACGGGGGCUCAACCUGAGUCCGCCGUUGAAACUGGCGGCCUUGAGUGCGCGUGAAGUACGCGGAAUGCGUGGUGUAGCGGUGAAAUGCAUAGAUAUCACGAAGAACUCCGAUUGCGAAGGCAGCGUACCGGAGUGCGACUGACGCUGAUGCACGAAAGCGUGGGUAUCGAACAGGAUUAGAUACCCCUGUAGUC
Molecule: ribosomal RNA, 459 nt
Filed under: uncultured bacterium
Lineage: Bacteria
Description: partial 16S ribosomal RNA
Rfam family: Bacterial small subunit ribosomal RNA
Source: RNAcentral